This 71-nucleotide transfer RNA is filed under the name Loxodonta africana (African savanna elephant). It matches the Rfam family "tRNA". From Rfam's summary of the family: Transfer RNA (tRNA) molecules are approximately 80 nucleotides in length. The record is from Rfam by way of RNAcentral. Lineage: Eukaryota; Metazoa; Chordata; Mammalia; Proboscidea; Elephantidae.
GUAGUGGUAGUUCAGUGGUAGAAUCCUUGCCUUCUAGGCAGAAGACCCAGGUUCAAUUCCUGGCCAGUGUA